AGAGUUUGAUUAUGGCUCAGGAUGAACGCUGGCGGCGUGCCUAACACAUGCAAGUCGAACGAUAGUAGCAAUACUAUAGUGGCGCACGGGUGAGGAACACGUAGCUAACCUGCCCCAAAGUGCGGGAUAACGUUCCGAAAGGAACGCUAAUACCGCAUAAGCUCACGCGAAGUAGAGGCGAGUGAGAAAAGAUUUAUCGCUUUGGGAGGGGGCUGCGGCCUAUCAGGUAGUUGGUGGGGUAAAAGCCUACCAAGCCGACGACGGGUAGGGGGUCUGAGAGGAUGAUCCCCCACACUGGGACUGAGACACGGCCCAGACUCCUACGGGAGGCAGCAGUGAGGGAUAUUGCACAAUGGGGGAUACCCUGAUGCAGCGACGCCGCGUGGGUGAUGAAGGCUUUCGGGUCGUAAAACCCUUUUCUAGGUGACGAGGAAGGACGGUAGCCUAGGAAUAAGUCUCGGCUAACUACGUGCCAGCAGCCGCGGUAAAACGUAGGAGGCAAGCGUUAUCCGGAGUUACUGGGCGUAAAGCGCGCGCAGGUGGUUGGAUAAGUGGGGCGUGAAAUUUCCCGGCUAAACCGGGAGGGGACGAACCAGACUAUCCGACUGGAGUACAGUAGAGGAACGCGGAAUUCGGGGUGUAGCGGUGAAAUGUGCAGAGAUCCCGAGGAACACCAGAGGGUAAGACGGCGUUCUGGGCUGUAACUGACACUGAGGCGCGAAAGCGUGGGAGCGAACGGGAUUAGAGACCCCGGUAGUCCACGCCGUAAACGAUGCUAGCUAGAUGUCUGGGCCGCGCAACGGCAUUGGGCGUCGAAGCCAACGCGAUAAGCUAGCCGCCUGGGGAGUACGGUCGCAAGGCUAAAACUCAAAGGAAUUGACGGGGGCCCGCACAAGCAGCGGAGCGUGUGGUUUAAUUCGAGGCUACACGAAGAACCUUACCUAGGUUUGACAUCACGGUAGUAGGGAACCGAAAGGGGACCGACCGCAAGGAGCCGUGACAGGUGCUGCAUGGCUGUCGUCAGCUCGUGUCGUGAGAUGUUCGGUUAAGUCCGAAAACGAGCGCAACCCCUUGGAGAAGUUACAAGUGUCUGAUCCGACUGCCCGCGAGAAGCAGGAGGAAGGUGGGGAUGACGUCAAGUCAGCAUGGCCUUUAUAUCUAGGGCUACACACACGCUACAAUGGGCACUACAGUGGGCAGCGAAGGGGCGACCCGGAGCGAAUCCUAAAAAGGUGUUCACAGUUCGGAUUGUAGGCUGCAACUCGCCUGCAUGAAGCUGGAGUUGCUAGUAACCGCAGGUCGGCCAUACUGCGGUGAAUACGUUCCCGGGCCUUGUACACACCGCCCGUCACGUCAUGGGAGCUGGUCACGCCUGAAGUCGGUGAGCGAACCGCAAGGAAGCAACCGCCGAGGGCAGGGCCGGUGACUGGGACGAAGUCGUAACAAGGUAGCUGUAGCGGAAGCUGCGGCUGGAUCACCUCCUUUCU
This 1487-nucleotide ribosomal RNA is filed under the name uncultured sludge bacterium S38. RNAcentral's name for it is "16S ribosomal RNA". It matches the Rfam family "Bacterial small subunit ribosomal RNA". The record is from RNAcentral. Lineage: Bacteria; Bacillati; Chloroflexota.